UUAAGUUCAGCGGGUAUUCCUACCUGAUUCGAGGUCAACUCUAUGAAAAAAGUUGGGGGGUUUUACGGCAGUGGCCAUCCGCCGGGCUCCUGUUGCGAGGUGUGUGCUACUACGCAGAGGAGGGCCGCGACGAGGCCGCCAAUUCAUUUAGGGGGCGGCGACUUGGCCCCAAACACCCCCACUGCAGAACAGUGGGAGCA
RNAcentral lists this unclassified non-coding RNA (200 nucleotides) under Clavicipitaceae sp. RNAcentral describes it as "partial internal transcribed spacer 2". Lineage: Eukaryota; Fungi; Ascomycota; Sordariomycetes; Hypocreales; Clavicipitaceae. The record is from RNAcentral.